RNAcentral lists this ribosomal RNA (610 nucleotides) under Streptomyces sp. RNAcentral describes it as "bacterial SSU rRNA". It matches the Rfam family "Bacterial small subunit ribosomal RNA", at positions 233 to 843 of the family's 1533-position model. The record is from RNAcentral. Lineage: Bacteria; Bacillati; Actinomycetota; Actinomycetes; Kitasatosporales; Streptomycetaceae.
GCGGCCUAUCAGCUUGUUGGUGAGGUAGUGGCUCACCAAGGCGACGACGGGUAGCCGGCCUGAGAGGGCGACCGGCCACACUGGGACUGAGACACGGCCCAGACUCCUACGGGAGGCAGCAGUGGGGAAUAUUGCACAAUGGGCGAAAGCCUGAUGCAGCGACGCCGCGUGAGGGAUGACGGCCUUCGGGUUGUAAACCUCUUUCAGCAGGGAAGAAGCGAAAGUGACGGUACCUGCAGAAGAAGCGCCGGCUAACUACGUGCCAGCAGCCGCGGUAAUACGUAGGGCGCAAGCGUUGUCCGGAAUUAUUGGGCGUAAAGAGCUCGUAGGCGGCUUGUCACGUCGGUUGUGAAAGCGCGGGCUAAUCCCGGGGCUUAACCCCGGGUCUGCAGUCGAUACGGGCAGGCUAGAGUUCGGUAGGGGAGAUCGGAAUUCCUGGUGUAGCGGUGAAAUGCGCAGAUAUCAGGAGGAACACCGGUGGCGAAGGCGGAUCUCUGGGCCGAUACUGACGCUGAGGAGCGAAAGCGUGGGGAGCGAACAGGAUUAGAUACCCUGGUAGUCCACGCCGUAAACGGUGGGCACUAGGUGUGGGCAACAUUCCACGUGUCCG